UGCGGCAAAAGUGUGAGAUUCAUCCUCGGAUAAUUCUACAGACUGUAAAAAUGCUUGUCGUGCGGAUUCCUUGUCGCCAUGUAAUUCUAAAGCAACCCCUAAUAAAGUGUAGACAUCUUCCGUAAUCCAAUUUGAUAUCAAAUAGCUUUCUGCAAUAACAAGUUCUAGACGUUCUAAGGAAUCCUGACACUGUCUAACAUUAUUGAGAUGAUAAUGACAAAGAAAACUAAGGAAGUAUGCAUUCCAAAAGUCUCCUUGCGGCAGAAUUGUCCGAUUCAUCCGGGUAGAUUUCUAAAGACUGUAAAAAGGCUUGUUGUGCGGAUUCCGUGUCGCCAACUAAUUGUAAAGCAACUCCCAAUAAAGUGUAGGCCUCCGCUGUAAAGUUCACACCUGACAUCAAAUAUCUUUCUCCUAUAACAAGUUUUAAAUCUUGAAUAGAAUCCUGACACUGUCUAGCAUUAUUGAGGUGAUAAUGACAAAGAACACUAAGGAAAUAAGCAUACGCUGUGGAGGGAAUGAAAUACAUUUCAUUCCUUCCCUCCAUUAAAAGUUCGUCUGGUGUUAAUGUUGAAUUCACUUUUAAUUGUAUAUGAUCUACGAAUAGUAUUUUUAAAAGAUAACCAACACUCUUCUUGUUGAAUGACAGCAGUUUAAUUGACUGGUAAUGGAUAUCAGACAAACUCAUUCCGUAGAACAGUUUGUCGGGAGUACAUUUCGAUAUAGAAUACCUAAUGAUGUGUAAAGCUUUUCUGUAUUGCUUUGUUUUGUAAAACAAUGAAGCUACCAUAAGCCACCCAGAAACAGCGUCAUGAUAGACAUUUGUUAGCAGAGUACUUAGACAGGAUUUGUACUGUUUGUAUUGGUAUUUAUUAUUGAUAAUUGCACCAUCAAGUG
This 894-nucleotide long non-coding RNA is filed under the name Mytilus galloprovincialis (Mediterranean mussel). Lineage: Eukaryota; Metazoa; Mollusca; Bivalvia; Mytilida; Mytilidae. The record is from RNAcentral.